RNAcentral lists this ribosomal RNA (246 nucleotides) under Triticum aestivum (bread wheat). RNAcentral describes it as "partial small subunit ribosomal RNA". Lineage: Eukaryota; Viridiplantae; Streptophyta; Magnoliopsida; Poales; Poaceae. The record is from RNAcentral.
AAGAAGGAAAGGAAAGCAGCCGGAGCUGCUUUCACGUGGAUGCAAAGGAACUUUGCGGAUUGCCUUGCGGAUGCCACUGAUGAUGUGAUACAGACACAUGCUCGUGUCUAUAUGUGGUACGUUGUCUCAAGGACUUUGUUUCCUGACUCGAUAGGCAAGAACGCUCCAUGGAUGUGGCUGAAGGCAUUGACCGUCUUCGAUAGCGGAUGGAGUUGGGGUUCAGCGACUCUUGCUUACUUGUACUGA